GAUGAACGCUGGCGGCGUGCCUAAUACAUGCAAGUCGAGCGAACGGACGAGAAGCUUGCGCCUCUGAUGUUAGCGGCGGACGGGUGAGUAACACGUGGAUAACCUACCUAUAAUACUGGGAUAACUUCGGGAAACCGUAGCUAAUACCGGAUAAUAUUUUGAACCGCAUGGUUCAAGAGUGAAAGACGGUUUUGCUGUCACUUAUAGAUGGAGCCGCGCUGCAUUAGCUAGUUGGUAAGGUAACGGCUUACCAAGGCAACGAUGCAUAGCCGACCUGAGAGGGUGAUCGGCCACACUGGAACUGAGACACGGUCCAGACUCCUACGGGAGGCAGCAGUAGGGAAUCUUCCGCAAUGGGCGAAAGCCUGACGGAGCCACGCCGCGUGAGUGAUGAAGGUCUUCGGAUCGUAAAACUCUGUUAUUAGGGAAGAACAAAUGUGUAAGUAACUCUGCACGUCUUGACGGUACCUAAUCAGAAAGCCACGGCUAACUACGUG
Molecule: ribosomal RNA, 497 nt
Filed under: uncultured bacterium
Lineage: Bacteria
Description: partial 16S ribosomal RNA
Rfam family: Bacterial small subunit ribosomal RNA
Source: RNAcentral